Molecule: long non-coding RNA, 3741 nt
Filed under: Homo sapiens (human)
Lineage: Eukaryota; Metazoa; Chordata; Mammalia; Primates; Hominidae
Description: HSALNT0341178
Source: RNAcentral
GCCCAGGCUGGAGUGCAGUGGCGCGAUCUCGGCUUACUGCAAGCUCCGCCUCCCGAGUUCACGUCAUUCUCCUGCCUCAGCCUCCCGAGUAGCUGGGACUACUGGCGCCCGCCACCACGCCAGGCUAACUUUUUUGUAUUUUUAGUAGAGACGGGGUUUCACCGUGUUAGCCACGAUGGUCUCGAUCUCCUAACCUCAUGAUCCGCCCGCCUCGGCUUCCCAAAGUGCUGGGGUUACAAGCGUGAGCCACCGCGCCUGGCCUGGGAGUGGUAGUCUCUUAACCGCUCCCAGCCCCUUGUUUGCAGGACUACAGGACUACAAUCCCAGCAUGCUCCGGGCUCGGGGUUGGGGCACAGCCAUUAGAGAGAGAGAGGCAGGGCGCUGCGCACCUCGCCGGGCAUGCGGGGCGUUGUAGUCUCUUAACGACUCCCGGCUCUUUGGUCGCCUGGCUGCAGGACUACAAUUCCAGCAGGCACCGGGCUCAGUGGGAGGGGCAGGGUGGUGUGGACCUGGCAAAGCAGUGGUGCCCGCUCACCACCUGCUGCCUUUCUCUCCAUGGGGAACCUGACUGGCCAGUGUCUCAAAGACGUGGAUGGUGACCAGCUCUCUCCAGAACAGAUGGCGCUCCAGCUUUGUGGGAGAAACUUUCAAGAUGGAGUCUUGCUCUGUUGCCCAGGCUGGAAUGCAAUGAUGCAAUCUCAGCUCACUGCAACCUCCAUCUCCCAGAUUCAAGUGGUUCUCCUGCCUCAGCCUCCCAAGUAGUUGGGACUACAGGUGGUGUAAUUCUCCUUUUGUGCCCAGGUGCUGCCUUCAGGAGGGAUUAUGACAUAUGCCUGGACCAAACACCUGGAUGACGUGACACUCCUGCAUGAGCCUUGCCCUAAGGGGAUAUUUUUACAUGUUGGUGAACUCAGCAUCUAGGUGAUGUGACUCUACUCUUCUGCCUGGGCCCUGCCCACAGAGGGCAUUGGAACAUUUCACUUGGCUCAGCACCAAGAAGAUGUUACUCUCCUACCUGGACCUCUCCCACAGGGGACACCUAGAUGAUAUGAUUUUUCUUCCUGGUUCCUGCCCAGACUUCAAAUUGUGAUGUAUAUCUGGGCCCAAAACACAGGUAAGGUAAUAACUCUCAUAGCUAGACCAAGACAAUAGAGAGAUUUUGACUUUUGUAGCUAGGCUUAGAACAAUGGGUACAUAUUCCUGGCCCAGCUCCCAGGUGAUAUGACCCUCCUACCUAGUUAGUGCUCACAGGUGUGAUUGUUACCUAUGUUUGGACUCAGUUCAUUGUGAGCAUUGUGAUCACUCAUACCUGGACCUAGCCACAAAAAAAUAUGUUGACUCUUAUACCUCAAAAUAGGAGACUCAACCCACAAGAGGUGUUGACUCUUACACCUUUUGCUGGAAAAUGUCCAGGAUUGUGAAUUUCUGCUAUUGAUUGGGUCCAGGUAUGAGUUUCAUUGCUGUGCCUGAGCUGAGUUCAAAAUAAGUCACUAUCUCACCUGUGGCUGCAUCUACAUAUGACAGUCACAAUUCCAAGUCUGGAUUGCAUUUGUGUAUGAGACUUAGGACCUCACCAGUAAGCACUGUCUAUGUGUGAGGGUGACAAUUCUAUCAGCUGGAAGUGCAUAUGAGAGUCACAAUGUCACCUUUGUUCUUGGUCCUGUUAUGACAUUGUAUCACUUGAAGGCUUUAUCCAGACCCAGGACCUUGCCUGUUGCCCUAAGCCUAGAUAUCAGAGUCAAAAUCUGUUCUCUUAGCUGGAUCCAGGUAUGAGAGUCAACAUCUCACCAGUGAGCUGUGACCAUGUAUAUGUCACAAUUUCACCUGUGGGCAGGAACCAGACAUGAGAGUCAUAUCACUUGGGUGCUGGGUAAGUGAUACAUUACAAUUCUUACUUUGGGCAGGGUCCAGGCAACAGAGGAGAGACACAUCACCUAUAUGAUUGGCCCAGCGAUGGGUGAAAAUCCUCUCUGAGAGCAGGGCCCAUUCAGGAGAGUCAUAUCACCUAGCUGCUUGGCCAAGUGAAAUAUCACAAUGCACCCUUUGCACAGGGCCAAUACAGGACAGUUACAUCACCAGGGAGCUGGGUCCAGCUAUAUGUCACAAUUCCUUUUGUGGAAAGUGUCCAGGCAGAAAAGCAGAGUCACAUCACCUAGCCAGUGGGCCCAGAGAGAUGCCACAAUGCCAUUUGUAGGCUGGGCCCUGGGAGAAGAAUAACAUCACCCAGUUCUGGGCCCAGCAAUAUGUUGUGAUCCCAACUGGAAAAAGUUUCCAGACAAGAGAGGAGAAUCACAUCAUCAUGAUGAUAAGCCAAGAGAUUUCACAAUCCCCCCCUCUGCACAUGUCCCAGGCAGAAGACCUGAAUUACCUUUUUACUUAGGCCAGUAAUGUCACAGUGCUUCCUCAGGGCAGGGCACAAACAAGAUAGGACAGUCACAUCAUUAAGUGCUAGACUUAAUGCUAGAUAUGUCAUAACCUUACUUGUGGGCAGGAUCCAGGAAGGAGAGAUUUAUGUCACCUAGGUGCUCAGUAAAGAGAUAUAUUACAAUUACAAUUCCUUUGAGGGAAGUGGCCAGGCAAAAUAGUCACAUCACCUAGGUGCUUGGCCCAGGUAUAAGUCACAAGAUAUCUGUGUGUUGAGCCCAGAAGGACUAUCAAAUUACGAAGUUUCUACGUAGAAGUGCAUGUCACAGACACCUGCAGGAAGGCCCAGGAAUGAGACUCCCAAUUCCACACAUUUUCCCACUCCAAGUGUAAGAGUCAACAACUCCUGAGACUUAGGCCCAAGUACAUGAGUCACAAUCUCAACAGUGGAUUGCAUCCUGCCAUGAGAGCCCCAAUCCCUUCUCUAAGCUGUGUUCCAGUAGAGGAGUCACAACAUCAAUGGUGUGCUGAAUCCUGGUUGGAGAGUUCCCACUUCACCUGUGGACUGGAUCUGUAUAUGAGAGUCUCAAUUCCAGCUCUCAACUGCCCCUGGGUGUGAGAUUCAGGACCUCAAUUGUGAGCUGUGUACACAUGGACAUGUAACAAUUUCUACUUUUGGCUGUGUGUUCAUACAAGACUCAAUCUCAUCUGUGUUCUCGGCCCUGUUAUGACACUCUUUGUACCACCCAUGGGAUUUAUUCAAUACGCAUGGGUGUCAUAAUCCUCUGUGAUCUUCAUACAAGUAGAAGACCCAGGACCUUACCCAUGGCCCUAGGCCUAUCUAUGAGAAUUGACAUUUUUCCUCACAUUUUUAAUUUUAACAAAUAAGUUAUUCUCCUGUCAGUUCAGAUUCAUCAGGACAUUGAAUCAUAUUCAGAAGAAUUAAAACUGAAAGACUAAUAGGUUUGUUAAAGCAAUGCAGGUUGUCAUACUAAUAAACCCUAAAAUUUCAAAGGCUUAGCAAAAUAAUACAUUUUCUGCUUACAUCACCAUCCCCUUUGGCUUAUUUCUGGUUAAGAGAACUUCUUUGUGAUUAUUCGGAGAUUAGAUUUUUUUAAAAUUUCCUAUCUGCACUCUCUCUUUCUUCAGCCAAUAGAUGAAAAAAGAUGCAAAGAAGACACAUUUGCUUUUUAUGCACACAUCACUUCCAGUCACUAUGUUGAGCAGAGUCAGUGUGAGGACAAUUGAGAAUAGCAGUUUUCUGGCAGGACAGCCACUUCUCAGCAGAAGAUGACACAAUAAAAGUAUAAAUCUUUCAUGGGAGGCUCACAUAUUUUCAGCAAAUUAAGCAUAUGCAUGAAUAAAAUUCUUGUGGUA